AUGGUGGGCUCGGCGGGCUAUAAUAUGGACAAAUUUGCUCGCGUUGUUAGGCUUCAGUGGCCAUGGUUUGAGUGGAAGGAGGUUAUCAAGCUAUAUGUGGGGAUGGGAAAACCAUGUGAUGAGGAUGAUCUCAACCUCUUCUAUGCCUCAACCACCAUUACCGUUGAGCACGGCUCCAGGACACCGUAUUGGAGCUCUCCUUGGCCACUUGGGCGUAAGCCCAUGGAAAUGCACCUCUUAUCUUUGAGACUUCCUCUAGAAAGAAUUAGAAAGUUAGAGAGGCUCUACGCGACAACAAUGCAUGGAUUUUCAAGAUCAAGCUUUCCACCACAGUGUCCAUCCAGCACAUUAGCUAUUUUUUCAUGCUUUGGAUGCUCUUCAUGA
This 384-nucleotide ribosomal RNA is filed under the name Triticum aestivum (bread wheat). Its description in RNAcentral is "partial small subunit ribosomal RNA". Lineage: Eukaryota; Viridiplantae; Streptophyta; Magnoliopsida; Poales; Poaceae. The record is from RNAcentral.